UGCGGAGGGUGCAAGCGUUAAUCGGAAUUACUGGGCGUAAAGCGCGCGUAGGUGGCUUGAUAAGCCGGUUGUGAAAGCCCCGGGCUCAACCUGGGAACGGCAUCCGGAACUGUCAGACUUGAGUGCAGAAGAGGAGAGUGGAAUUCCAUGUGUAGCGGUGAAAUGCGCAGAGAUAUGGAGGAACACCAGUGGCGAAGGCGGCUCUCUGGUCUGACACUGACGCUGAGGUGCGAAAGCGUGGGUAGCAAACAGG
RNAcentral lists this unclassified non-coding RNA (253 nucleotides) under uncultured Halomonadaceae bacterium. RNAcentral's name for it is "contains 16S-23S intergenic spacer region". It matches the Rfam family "Bacterial small subunit ribosomal RNA", at positions 524 to 776 of the family's 1533-position model. Lineage: Bacteria; Pseudomonadati; Pseudomonadota; Gammaproteobacteria; Oceanospirillales; Halomonadaceae. The record is from RNAcentral.